This 700-nucleotide ribosomal RNA is filed under the name uncultured bacterium. RNAcentral's name for it is "bacterial SSU rRNA". It matches the Rfam family "Bacterial small subunit ribosomal RNA", at positions 56 to 749 of the family's 1533-position model. The record is from RNAcentral.
UGCAAGUCGAACGGCAGCACGGGUGCUUGCACCUGGUGGCGAGUGGCGAACGGGUGAGUAAUAUAUCGGAACGUGCCCUAGAGUGGGGGAUAACGUAGCGAAAGUUACGCUAAUACCGCAUACGAUCUAAGGAUGAAAGUGGGGGAUCGCAAGACCUCAUGCUCCUGGAGCGGCCGAUAUCUGAUUAGCUAGUUGGUGGGGUAAAAGCCUACCAAGGCGACGAUCAGUAGCUGGUCUGAGAGGACGACCAGCCACACUGGGACUGAGACACGGCCCAGACUCCUACGGGAGGCAGCAGUGGGGAAUUUUGGACAAUGGGGGAAACCCUGAUCCAGCAAUGCCGCGUGUGUGAAGAAGGCCUUCGGGUUGUAAAGCACUUUUGUCAGGAACGAAACGGUGGGGGCUAAUACCUCCUGCGGGUGACGGUACCUGAAGAAUAAGCACCGGCUAACUACGUGCCAGCAGCCGCGGUAAUACGUAGGGUGCGAGCGUUAAUCGGAAUUACUGGGCGUAAAGCGUGCGCAGGCGGUUGUGCAAGACAGAUGUGAAAUCCCCGGGCUUAACCUGGGAAUUGCAUUUGUGACUGCACGGCUAGAGUGUGUCAGAGGGGGGUAGAAUUCCACGUGUAGCAGUGAAAUGCGUAGAUAUGUGGAGGAAUACCGAUGGCGAAGGCAGCCCUCUGGGAUAACACUGACGCUCA